Molecule: ribosomal RNA, 576 nt
Filed under: uncultured bacterium
Lineage: Bacteria
Description: bacterial SSU rRNA
Rfam family: Bacterial small subunit ribosomal RNA
Source: RNAcentral
CCUACGGGAGGCAGCAGUAGGGAAUAUUGGUCAAUGGGGGGAACCCUGAACCAGCCAUGCCGCGUGCAGGAUGAAGGCGUUCUGCGUCGUAAACUGCUUUUAUAUAGGAAGAAAAGCUCUUGCGAGAGUCUAUGACGGUACUAUAUGAAUAAGCACCGGCUAACUCCGUGCCAGCAGCCGCGGUAAUACGGAGGGUGCAAGCGUUGUCCGGAAUUAUUGGGUUUAAAGGGUGCGUAGGCGGUCUAAUAAGUCAGAGCUGAAAUCCCAGGGCUUAACCCUGGAACUGGCUUUGAUACUGUUGGACUUGAAUAUACUAGAGGUUAGCGGAAUUUAUGAUGUAGCGGUGAAAUGCAUAGAUAUCAUAAAGAACACCGAUAGCGAAGGCAGCUAACUGGAGUAUUAUUGACGCUGAGGCACGAAAGCGUGGGUAGCGAACGGGAUUAGAUACCCCGGUAGUCCACGCCGUAAACGAUGUUCACUCGCUGUGUGCGAUAUACAGUACGCGGCCAAGCGAAAGCAUUAAGUGAACCACCUGGGGAGUACGUUGGCAACGAUGAAACUCAAAGGAAUUGACGG